This 537-nucleotide ribosomal RNA is filed under the name Klebsiella quasipneumoniae subsp. similipneumoniae. RNAcentral's name for it is "partial 23S ribosomal RNA". It matches the Rfam family "Bacterial large subunit ribosomal RNA", at positions 146 to 726 of the family's 2925-position model. Lineage: Bacteria; Pseudomonadati; Pseudomonadota; Gammaproteobacteria; Enterobacterales; Enterobacteriaceae. The record is from RNAcentral.
CACUAUCGUUAACUGAAUACAUAGGUUAACGAGGCGAACCGGGGGAACUGAAACAUCUAAGUACCCCGAGGAAAAGAAAUCAACCGAGAUUCCCCCAGUAGCGGCGAGCGAACGGGGAGCAGCCCAGAGUCUGAAUCAGCUUGUGUGUUAGUGGAACGGUCUGGAAAGUCCGACGGUACAGGGUGAUAGUCCCGUACACCAAAAUGCACAGGUUGUGAACUCGAAGAGUAGGGCGGGACACGUGGUAUCCUGUCUGAAUAUGGGGGGACCAUCCUCCAAGGCUAAAUACUCCUGACUGACCGAUAGUGAACCAGUACCGUGAGGGAAAGGCGAAAAGAACCCCGGCGAGGGGAGUGAAAAAGAACCUGAAACCGUGUACGUACAAGCAGUGGGAGCACCUUCGGGUGUGACUGCGUACCUUUUGUAUAAUGGGUCAGCGACUUAUAUUCUGUAGCAAGGUUAACCGUAUAGGGGAGCCGCAGGGAAACCGAGUCUUAACUGGGCGUUAAGUUGCAGGGUAUAGACCCGAAACCCGGU